RNAcentral lists this transfer RNA (42 nucleotides) under Cnemaspis peninsularis. Its description in RNAcentral is "partial tRNA-Cys". Lineage: Eukaryota; Metazoa; Chordata; Lepidosauria; Squamata; Gekkonidae. The record is from RNAcentral.
GGGGUGCCCGGGCUUCUCCCCCUUUUCCAGCAACGGGAGAAG